GGAGUUGUGGCUUAGUGGUAGAGCAUUUGCCUGGCAUGUGUAAAGCACUGGAUUCAAUCCUCAGCCCCA
RNAcentral lists this transfer RNA (69 nucleotides) under Ictidomys tridecemlineatus (thirteen-lined ground squirrel). RNAcentral describes it as "Spermophilus tridecemlineatus (thirteen-lined ground squirrel) tRNA". It matches the Rfam family "tRNA". From Rfam's summary of the family: Transfer RNA (tRNA) molecules are approximately 80 nucleotides in length. The record is from Rfam by way of RNAcentral. Lineage: Eukaryota; Metazoa; Chordata; Mammalia; Rodentia; Sciuridae.